AUUAUAGAAAUAUAUAAAUUUAAGCUUCUAACUUAAUUAAUAGUGAAUAAAUUCAUUAAUAUU
RNAcentral lists this transfer RNA (63 nucleotides) under Luehdorfia chinensis. RNAcentral describes it as "tRNA-Ser". The record is from RNAcentral. Lineage: Eukaryota; Metazoa; Arthropoda; Insecta; Lepidoptera; Papilionidae.